This 475-nucleotide ribosomal RNA is filed under the name Vexillum aureolatum. RNAcentral's name for it is "partial 12S ribosomal RNA". The record is from RNAcentral. Lineage: Eukaryota; Metazoa; Mollusca; Gastropoda; Neogastropoda; Costellariidae.
AAAGGCAGUUAGGUUACUAUUUGAGUAGUUUACUUAUAUGAUUAAUAAAUAGGUAAAAUUUAAUUAUUAAUUGAAAAAUUUUUAUCAACUAAGAUCACUGAGUCUGCGAUAUCCCUGAGGGAAACUGGGAUUAGAUACCCCAUUAUUCUUGGAAGUAAAAAGAAAAAUCUACCAGAGUACUACGAACAAAAAUUUAAAACUCAAAGAGCUUGGCGGUGCUUUAGACUUUUCAGGGGAACCUGUCUUAUAAUCGACAAUCCGCGCCAUACCUAACCCUACCUUGCAUUCAAUUUGUAUACCGUCGUCGUCAGGUAACUUUUAAAAAUUUUAAUAGUUAGCAAGAAAGUCAAAAUAGUAAACUUAAACGUCAGAUCAAGGUGCAAUUCAUGGUAGGGGCAAGAUGGGUUACAAUUAUAAAAUUAAUAAUACGAAGAAUUACUUGAAACGCUAUUUUAAAGGAGGACUUGAAAGUAAA